UAGCUCACACCACCCAUAUAUUUAAACACUCCAAACACCCAAAGGGAAGAAGAAAAGCUGCUAUUCAUUCCCUUGGUCAUGGCAUCAACUCUACUUUUUCUCUUCUCUCUCCUCCUCCUCCUACCUCUUCCAUCCUUCUCCCAGACCUGUUCCUCCCAAACUUUCUCCAAGAAUCGGCUCUUCGCCACCUGCAACGACCUCCGCCACCUCUCCGCCGCCCUCCACUGGACCUACGACGCCGCCAACUCCACGCUUUCCAUCGCCUUCGUCGCCCCCCCAUCCCGCUCCGGUGGCUGGGUUGCAUGGGCCCUCAACCCCACCGGCUCCGGCAUGGUGGGGGCGCAGGCUGUCGUCGGGCUCCGCCAGUCCGGUGGCUCCCUCGUAGCCAAGACUUUCAACAUCUCUGCUUAUGGCCCUGUCACGCCGUCGCCGAUCGCCUUCGAGACGUGGGGGCUCGAGGCCGAGGAGGAUGCCGGCGGCGUCAUGACGGUGUUCGCCAUGCUAAAGCUGCCAAGUAGCGUGACGAGGAUGAACCAGGCGUGGCAGGUUGGGCCGAGCUCUACUGAUGGCUUGCCUAACAAGCAUGACAUCGGGGUGGCGAAUUUGAACGCCAAGGGGACACUGGAUGUGGUCAGUGGGCAGAGCUCGGGAGGAAAGGAUUCAAGGUUGAAGGAGAGGAAUGUAAGUGCUUAUGACUCUCUCUCUAUAAUAAACAGAGUAAAGGUUUUUAGAACUUGGCAAGAGUUUUAAUUAGUGUUGAUAAGACAUUUAAUUUGGUUUAUCUGAAAGUAGAACAAUAGUUUUUUUUUCUUUUAUAAAUAUGAUGGUAAGGAAAAUUGGAAUGGGUUUGGGGAGUUUGAGUGAACUCUGUUCCUACUCUCUCUGAGAACAUUGAUUUUUUGUUAGUUGGAGGAUUGAAGGAAAAUGAAUAUUUAUCUAUCGACCGAUUGAUCGAUCUAUAUAGAUAGAUAUUGAAUUGGUUCUGCACAAUUUGAGUGGAUUGUAUUCUCCUUUGCUUUUUUUUUUUUGUUGGUUGGUUGAGUUGCAUAUUGAAUUGGAGCGAACCGUUUCAUUUUCUAGUUUUAAAUGAAGACUAUGUUUUCUCACUGAUAUUUUGGAUUUUCUGGUCUUUUUUCCAUUUCUCCUUCUGUUCCAGCAGAGGGAACGAGAAGAGCCAAAGAAUCUAUAUGCUUACAUUUAAAAGAAUAAAGUGUGGAACGUAGAUAAUUGUGGAACACUGAUAAUUUUGUACGCCACUAUGCUUUUUUUUAGCAAAUCUUUAAUGAAGUUAUUUUGCAACAAUCAAAAUCUUGUGCUACUCUCAAUAGCAACCAUCAGAAGAUGAAUGGCCAUGAAACAACACGCAUUAUAUAUAACAUAGUAUACACUUGUGGAUUGUUUUGUUUGAUGGUCAUCCAUCUUCUAAUGGCAACCAUCGAGAGCUGCACUGCUGUGAUAUUACAACCCGUGCAUAGCAAAGAAUCAGUGGCUAUGCCAUAUUAAUUCUUACAAGUACUUUAUUUUUUAGAUAUUAUUUUUUUUCUUUCUUUAUUUUUGUUUAUAUAUGUAGUUUUUCUGCUAUUCACUAUUUUUCAGUUUGUCUUUUUUUGGCGCCUCUCUUUUCUUCUCUAGAACCCUUCAAUUAUAUUUUCAGAAUCUAAAUAGUGAAAUCUCCAGAAAAGUUAUUUGUCUUUUCUUUCAAUUUUCCUUUACCUUCUUGGCGUUUCAUGCCGAUCCCUGCAACUGUCACUAAGGCAGAUGGAAGGUCCUUGUCAUGUUACUUAUUAUAGUUGAUAUACUUGUUCAGUGGAAUAACAUGUCUAAUUCUUUAUUACUAGUUUCCUCUACAACUAUAUACAUGGUGAGCUAUGGAUACCACCAUGAAGAACUUGAGGGAGCCAAAGUCCCUAAAAUUAACAGAUGGACUUCAUAUUACUAUAUUUCCAGUGAUCACCAUCCUAACUCACCCUUUGAAUAAGAUGGCAAUUAUCUUCUAAUGUUUCUGGGAAUUACUCUCAGUAAGCAACAAAAGUUUAUUGCGUCAGGAUCACUCACUGAAUGGCUAUUGUAUAUCAAGCAUAUAUAUGUUAGAGAAAACUCUUCAAAACUCCAGUUUGUUUUGCAAAAUAAUUCUGAAAACUUUCUUUAGAUCCAUUUUGUUGUAAUCAAUAUUUCAGACUGUUUUCAGUUCAUUGCUUUUGGCUUUUCUUUGUGGUACAGAUACAUGGCAUACUAAAUGCUGUGAGUUGGGGAAUUUUGCUUCCAAUUGGAGCAAUCAUCGCAAGGUAUCUGAAGGCAUUCAAGUCCUUAGCCCCAGCCUGGUUCUACCUUCAUGUGUUAUGUCAGCUAAUUGGUUAUGCUUUGGGGGUCACUGGCUGGGGAGUCGGUCUUAAUCUUGGGAGCAAAUCCAAGGGAGUUCAGUACACCACUCACCGAAACUUAGGCAUCACCCUCUUCUCCCUUGCCACCUUACAG
Molecule: long non-coding RNA, 2475 nt
Filed under: Phoenix dactylifera (date palm)
Lineage: Eukaryota; Viridiplantae; Streptophyta; Magnoliopsida; Arecales; Arecaceae
Description: long non-coding RNA (PDAC_LNC009575)
Source: RNAcentral